Molecule: ribosomal RNA, 784 nt
Filed under: Mycena lasiopus
Lineage: Eukaryota; Fungi; Basidiomycota; Agaricomycetes; Agaricales; Mycenaceae
Description: partial large subunit ribosomal RNA
Rfam family: Eukaryotic large subunit ribosomal RNA
Source: RNAcentral
GGGAAAAGCUCAAAUUUAAAAUCUGGCGGUCUCUGGCCGUCCGAGUUGUAAUUUAGAGAAGCGUUAUCCGCGCUGGACCGAGUACAAGUCUCUUGGAAUAGAGCGUCAUAGAGGGUGAGAAUCCCGUCUUUGACUCGGACUGCCAGGGCAUAGUGAUGCGCUCUCGAAGAGUCGAGUUGUUUGGGAAUGCAGCUCAAAAUGGGUGGUAAAUUCCAUCUAAAGCUAAAUAUUGGGGAGAGACCGAUAGCGAACAAGUACCGUGAGGGAAAGAUGAAAAGAACUUUGGAAAGAGAGUUAAACAGUACGUGAAAUUGCUCAAAGGGAAACGCUUGAAGUCAGUCGCGUUGUUCAGGACUCAGCUAUGCUUUUGUGUAGUGUACUUCCUGUUCAAUGGGUCAACAUCAAUUUUGGUCAGUGGACAAAGGCGUAGGGAAUGUGGCUCUUUCGGGAGUGUUAUAGCCCUGCGUUGUAUACAUUGACUGGGAUUGAGGAACUCAGCACGCCGCAAGGCCGGGAUUUAUCCACGUACGUGCUUAGGAUGUUGGCGUAAUGGCUUUAAUCGACCCGUCUUGAAACACGGACCAAGGAGUCUAACAUGCAUGCGAGUGUUUGAGUGCAAAACUCGAGCGCGUAAUGAAAGUGAAAGUUGAGAUCCCUGUCGUGGGGAGCAUCGACGCCCGGAGCAGACCUUCUGUGACGCAUCCGCGGUAGAGCAUGUAUGUUGGGACCCGAAAGAUGGUGAACUAUGCCUGAAUAGGGUGAAGCCAGAGGAAACUCUGGUGGA